This 111-nucleotide non-coding RNA is filed under the name bovine gut metagenome. RNAcentral describes it as "FMN riboswitch (RFN element)". It matches the Rfam family "FMN riboswitch aptamer (RFN element)". From Rfam's summary of the family: The RFN element is a highly conserved domain that is found frequently in the 5'-untranslated regions of prokaryotic mRNAs that encode for flavin mononucleotide (FMN) biosynthesis and transport proteins. This element is a metabolite-dependent riboswitch that directly binds FMN in the absence of proteins. The record is from RNAcentral.
CCUUAGGGCAGGGUGAAAUUCCCUAUCGGCGGUAUAGCCCGCCUGCUUGUCAAAGACGAGCUGAUUCGGUGAAAUUCCGAAGCCGACGGUGACAGUCCGGAUGAAAAAGGU